AAGUCGUAACAAGGUUUCCGUAGGUGAACCUGCGGAAGGAUCAUUAUUGAAAUAAACCUGAUGGGUUGUUGCUGGUUCUCUAGGGAGCAUGUGCACGCCUUGUCAUCUUUAUAUCUCCACCUGUGCACCUUUUGUAGACCUUCCAGGUCUAUGUUGCUUCAUUUACCCCAAUGUAUGUUAAUAGAAUGUUGUGAUUAUAAAAAAUAUACAACUUUCAGCAACGGAUCUCUUGGCUCUCGCAUCGAUGAAGAACGCAGCGAAAUGCGAUAAGUAAUGUGAAUUGCAGAAUUCAGUGAAUCAUCGAAUCUUUGAACGCACCUUGCGCUCCUUGGUAUUCCGAGGAGCAUGCCUGUUUGAGUGUCAUUAAUAUAUAUAUCAACCUUCACUUGUUGAAUGGUUUGGAUGUGGGGGUUUGCUGGACUCUUGAAGGGUUCAGCUCCUCUGAAAUGCAUUAGCAGAACAAUCUGUUCAUUGGUGUGAUAACUAUCUACGCUCUUGAAUAAGAUGCAGUUCAGCUUUCUAACUGUCCUUGGACAAUUUAUCAUUUAUGUGACCUCAAAUCAGGUAGGACUACCCGCUGAACUUAA
Molecule: ribosomal RNA, 587 nt
Filed under: uncultured Cortinarius
Lineage: Eukaryota; Fungi; Basidiomycota; Agaricomycetes; Agaricales; Cortinariaceae
Description: eukaryotic LSU rRNA
Rfam family: 5.8S ribosomal RNA (bases 210-363)
Source: RNAcentral